This 74-nucleotide transfer RNA is filed under the name Candidatus Zixiibacteriota bacterium. RNAcentral describes it as "candidate division Zixibacteria bacterium tRNA-Arg". It matches the Rfam family "tRNA". From Rfam's summary of the family: Transfer RNA (tRNA) molecules are approximately 80 nucleotides in length. Their secondary structure includes four short double-helical elements and three loops (D, anti-codon, and T loops). Further hydrogen bonds mediate the characteristic L-shaped molecular structure. tRNAs have two regions of fundamental functional importance: the anti-codon, which is responsible for specific mRNA codon recognition, and the 3' end, to which the tRNAs corresponding amino acid is attached (by aminoacyl-tRNA synthetases). tRNAs cope with the degeneracy of the genetic code in two manners: having more than one tRNA (with a specific anti-codon) for a particular amino acid; and 'wobble' base-pairing, i.e. permitting non-standard base-pairing at the 3rd anti-codon position. The record is from RNAcentral. Lineage: Bacteria; Pseudomonadati; Candidatus Zixiibacteriota. RNAcentral also lists the same sequence under 1 other name.
GCCCCCGUAGCUCACCUGGAUAGAGCAUCGGUUUCCUAAACCGAGGGUAGCAGGUUCAAGUCCUGCCGGGGGUA